Molecule: long non-coding RNA, 19196 nt
Filed under: Gossypium barbadense (sea-island cotton)
Lineage: Eukaryota; Viridiplantae; Streptophyta; Magnoliopsida; Malvales; Malvaceae
Description: long non-coding RNA (GBAR_LNC021358)
Source: RNAcentral
GCAAAUUAACUAGAUAAAGCUCUUGCAGAUUUGUUAGAUGUUGAAGCCACUCCGGAAGAUGCCGACACUUUGGAAUAUUUUGCAGCCAUAGAGAGCGUAGGCUUGUAUGGUCUUGGAAUAUUUGGAUGCCAGCUCCAGAUAACUCCAGCUCCUUGCAGUCCAUUACUUCAAACUCUUCAAGGAAAGUGAGAUGUUGGAACACAGGAAGCAGUGACCUCAAUCCAUUGCAGUUAUGAAUUUUUAAUGUUUUCAAUUGAACAAGAUGUUGAAGCCAAAUGGGGAGAGACACCAGCUUUGGAAUAUUAUAAAUCUUCAAAUGAGAGAGAUUCUUAAGGGGUUCCCAUUGCAUGCCCUCUAAAUCAACCUCCUUGCAAUCUCUUAUUGUUAAUCUUUUGAGGCUGGUGAGAUGUUGCAGGCACUCAUCUAGCGUGUGAGUGUCCAACCCCUCAAUGUUGCCUACAAGGAAAGAUUUCAAUCUGGAGAGAGGAAGAGAAGAGGUUGAAGUUGAUGGGGUCGUACUAGUGAUGUUCAUCUUCAUGGUCUGCUUUAACGGCCUUGAACUGGUAUUCCUCAACUUUAGCUUAUCAUCGAGUGAAGGAUACAACGGCAUUGAUGUCAAAGGGCAAUUUUGAAUUGUUAAAGAGGAAAGACAAGGAAAUGCCAUGGUUGAUGGUCCCAUAUCUGUUGUGUCGUCCUCGUUGGAAUCAUCAUCGAUUGGUUUUGUCGUCCUCCACCAACUCUUCAUAUUUGGGCAAUCCUGUAGGCAAAGAUACUUAAGCGAUGGGAAGAAUGAUUGUGGUUCUCCUUGACUUCCUUUUGGGCUAUUAUCAUCCAUGUACUCCAGUUCAGUUAAAUCACAAAUUACCAAAUCUUGAAGACAAGGAAAUUGAGCAAAGGAUGGGAGAUGUUUGAAUUUACCACCACGACCCAUUAUUUUAAUAUGGACGAGAUUUGUGAGAAAAGAAAUCCAACUUGGAAACUCAGCAUCACCCCUCCAUCCUGUAAUAAAGAGCUUCUUGAGAUUAGGAUGGGGCUGGAGGUCUUCAAGUGACUUCUCAUAAUCAUCUUCAUCAUCAAUAUCAACAUUCCAUUCUAAAACCAACGAUCUCAAAUGUUGCUUCUCUUUCAAAUUAGCAGCCUUAAACUUCUCUUUUGCAUUUUUUACGAAUCCCAAAUUUGUUAUUUCUAGAUGUCCCCUUAAGUUAUUAAGCAGUCUCAAUUCACUUAGAUCUGCACCGCCAUGGGACCCAUCUUUAUCCACUACAAACAUGCUUAACGUCUCAAGUGAAGUCAGCUUACCUAUUCCACAUGGCAUAUGAGUUAAGCCAUUACAAUCUUCACACCCAAGAUGGGUAAGAUUCACCAAUUUUUCAAUCUUCUUUGGCAAUUCUUUAAGCCCAUCACACAAGUCAAGUUUCAGCGCUAGCAAAGUCUGAAUCUUGCAAAUACUCUGUGGGAGAAUCUUAAUGCCGGGAUUAUUAGAAAGAUCAAGGUACCUCAAAUAUUUCAACUUACAAAUGGAGGGUGAAAUCUUUUGAAUACCUAUAGAAUCCAAUUUCAAUACACGCAAGCAUCUACAAUUUGCAAUUAUCAAAUCCGAAGUUUCAUAGCUGAAAUUUUGAUCUAUGUUGUUUGGAAAGUUUAACAAGGUUCGCAACUUCUUUCCCUUAAAUAAAGGAAUUAAUGAAGGUUUAAUUGAUAUGUGGCGACAUUUUUCACCAACAUCACUUGCAAUUUUUUUGAAUCUACAAUACUACUCUCCAUCCCUGCUACUGAUUCAGCUAGAUCAUGCAUUAAAUCAUGCAUUUUACAUGUCAUAUCUUCCAUCAAGUCUCCUUCUACCUCUUGGAAGAAACUUCUUUCAAUUAAAUCUUUAAAAUACCCAAAUCCGAUCUCCUCGAGAGAUUGACUUUGAUACAAUUUCUUUAUGAAACCCUGUGCAAUCCAAAAUUGAACAAGCGCUUGUACUUCAAUUCUGUAAUCUUUUGGAUACAAUCGGCAAUAAGCAAAGCAAUGCUUCAAAUGAGACGGGAGAUGAUCAUAACUCAAUUUCAGUAUAGGUAGAAGUUCUCCUUCAAUUUUUGAAAUUUUAGCAAGUUCAUUUUCUUUGAAAGAAUGCCACUCAUUUGCAGUUUUCUUCAAAGAUAAUGUACCAGCUAUCGUCCUUAUGGCUAAGGGAACCCCACCACACCUUUCCGAAAUCUGUCUCCCUACUUCCACAAAGGCUGAAUUUGUUGAGUCUGCAUGUCCUUGCUCAAAUGCUAUCUUUUUGAACAAAGACCAAGCAUCAUCAUCAGACAAGCCUUUCAAUUUCAAAACAUGGGAUUGACAUUUAUUAGUUAUCUCCGCUACCCUCAGAGAUCGAGUAGUUACUAUUAUCCUACUCCCUUUAGCCCCACCCACCAAUAACUUCUUUAGCCUAGACCACUUUUCUAGGUCCUCAUUCCAAAUGUCAUCCAAAACAAGCAAAUAUUUUUUCCCAUCAAUUUUAUCUCGAAGUUGUUUUUGCAAUUGAUCCAUUUCAAGAUUUUGAUCAGGUGCAUGAUGAGUCACAGAUUUGAUAAUGUUUGCUACAAUAGCUUUCACAUCAAAAUCAUCUGAAACACACGCAAACAUCGUUAAGUCAAAAUGAUUUUUGACCUUUCAUGGUUAUAGACAAGUUGGGCCAAAGCAGUCUUCCCUAACCCUCCAAACCCCACAAUUGGAAUGAUAUAAACAUUCUCUUCACUUUGAAACUCCAACACGAGUUUUAGAAGAGCUGCUUUAUCAUCAUCCCUCCCUAUUAUGUCAUCUUAACACUCAAAAGAGUGCGUUUGCUGCCUCCUUUUAGUCAUGAAAGAGGUUUUCGCGGGGCGAUCAUGCGGAAUGAAGCCAAAAGUGUUGGUCCCGCUUUCAAUUGAAGCUAAUCUCGCCUUAAUGGCCUUCAUUUUCCGACCCAUUUUGAGACCAUAAGCAAAUUGGUUUGAGGUUGAGAAGAAAAGGCGUACCUCUUUCGUCAGCUUGUUCCCACCCGAUACAUCUUUCCGCAAAGCUUCAGUAGAGAAAUCAUCAAGCAAGUCGUCGGCAUCAUAAAGUACAUCUUUCAGCUCUUCAAGCCAAACUUUGACGAGAUUGUCAGUCACCGAUUUCUCUUCUGCGUCAAGAAGCACAGCUUUGAUUUGACAGACAGUGCGUUUGAGGUCGUGGAUGUCAUGUUUUAGAUUCCACCACAGCCCAACUUGAGAGAGAGCACGAGAGCUCAACUUAAUAAUGAGCUCUGCGGCAAUGUCGAAAGCAAUUGCUUCGGCCAUUGGUGGUUCAAACUGAAAUCAAUGCAAAAAGUGUUUGAUUCGUGAAAGAGGAGGACUAAUAUGAGAAUGAUUCCAACAAGAUGAAACACAGAUGUAGAUCCAUACACGCGGAGACUGAAGUAUAUUUAUAGAUGUUACCAUCCACCCAGCAAGUAGUAUAAUUAAAUAAAAAGUAAUUUUAAGAGAUUCAUUAAUAUAAUUAUUUGUCUAUGCAAUAUGUCAAAGUAAAAUGUAAGAGGUUGAUUUGGCAUAUCCCAAAACAUUUUGUUAUAGUUUGGAUGGUCAUUCUUGUCAAGUUACCUAUCAUUGGCAAAGCUUGGUAGAGACUCUUAAAAUGGUAAAUUUUUAAUUUAAACCUUUUAUAAUUUAUAAAAUUUUAAAUUAAUAAUGAUAAAAUUAUAAUUUAAUCCUCUAAAAAUUUAUAAAAAAAUUAAUUUAACUCUUUAAAAAUUAUAAAAAUAUACUACUAUAAAAAUAUAUAAUUUAAUUCUGACUAAAAAUUUUUUUAGCUCGGCUACCGUUGCCUAUAAAAGAAAAAUAAAUUUCGUUUUCCACACAAUAUGUGGAGAGAUAUUGGGUUUAUGUCAGCUCCAUGGGAAUGUAUUUUAUUGGAAUUGAAGGAAAAAUCAUUACUUAUACCCUCGUGAAGAUUGCUUCCAAUGCCCAUAUCUAUUUAAUUAUUUUAUUACUCAUAAAAUUGUUUAUUGUGAGUUGGAUGCUUUUGGUUUGAUUAUUUAAGAUGUUUUAUUUUUAAAUAUAUUCUUAAUUAUUUAUUUUACAUAUACAUGUAUUUUAACUUAAUAUAUUUAAUAGUGAUUUUGUUUUUUAUAAAAAAAGGACCCAAAGGUACUACCUCAUUUUAAGUUGCAUCAUAAAUUACAAUGUUAUGGAUAUCGCUAGGAUAAUUCAUCCCAAAAGACAAAUUACAACACUUAGAAAGAGCCCAAUUACGAAGAGAAUCGACUAAUUUGUUACAACCACGUUUCACCCAUUUGACCUCGGCGGAAACAAAAGAAUCAAGCAUCUUGUGAGCUCAUUGAUGCAGUGAUCAAGGGUCGUUAUGUCCUCUUUGUGAAAACUAAAGCGGUUGACAAUGCUAGCACAAUCUGCUUCAAAUGACAUUAUCGGCUUCAAAAAAUUGAGCAUGCCGAAAACCAUCGAUGAGGGCAUCUAAUUCUGCUUUAAUAGUGAUUUUUUAUUCUCAUUUUAUCGGUAUAUUUGUUGGAACAUUUUCAAAUAUUUAUAGUGUUCCAAUAACUAUAAAUGAAUGGGUGUAAUUAAUCAAAAGAUUACAUUAUUUGAUUUUUUUGAAAAAGAGUUAUAACUAUUUAAAUAAUAUUAUUUGAAUAGUUAUAAAUGUAUAAUUAUGUGUUUAUUUUUAAGACAUUAUUAUUCAGAAAGACACCUAUUGAUGAAGAGACAUGAAAAUUUCUAUAAGUAGGAAUGGAAUUUCAUUUGGAAAACAUACCAAAAAAUUCUAAAUAUUCUUUCUUUCCUUCAUUCAUUUUCUAAUAUUAUUAGAUUAUUCUAUAAAGUAUUACUGCAGAAAUUCUUUGUAGAAAUUGAGUUUUUGAUAUAUAUUGCUUAGUGCUUAGUGGACUAUUCUCGUCAGUGCAAAACGCAAAUAGUCAUUAGCUUCAUUGUAUCCUCGAGGUUAAUUUGCUUGAAACUCAUUUGCACACCGAAGAUAGGUGGGGGUGAAUAUAACCUUAAAGAUAGUGGCUUGAUACACGCCUUGGAGCAUUGCCAUUUUUCUUCUUUUUCUGUUCGAGUUCUGUUUGUGUGUUCGAGAUUUUUCUCACUGGAGUUUUGUACUAACAAUUUUAAGGUUAUAAUUCAUGAUGACUACCACAACACAUGAAAGUGGAACACUAAGGGAGUUGGCUUCCAACUUUGUUAAACUUGAUCGGUUUGAUGGUUGUAAUUUUCGACGAUGAUAGAAAAAUAUGCACUUCUUAUUAUCAACUUUGAAGAUUGCUUAUGUUUUGGAUACUCCAAGACCUGAAGAGAAUGAAAACCAAUCUGUUGUUGCAACUUGAGAAAGAUAAAAAUGGGACAAUGCUGACUACAUGUGCAUGGGCCACAUAUUGAAUGGUUUAUCUGAUGGUUUGUUUGACACCUACCAAAACGAGGUCACCGCUAAAGAAUUAUGGGACAAAUUGGAGACAAGAUACAUGACUGAAGAUGUUACAAGUAAGAAAUUUCUUGUCAGUCGUUUCAAUAAUUAUCAAAUGGUUGAUGGUCAUUCUAUUAUGGAACAAUUCCGUGAUAUUGAAAAGAUGUUGAAUCAAUUCAAGCAAUAUGAUAUGAAAAUGGAUGAAAUGAUUGUUGUAUCCUCCAUAAUAGACAAACUUCCUCCAUCUUGGAAAGACUUUAAAAGAAGUCUAAAACAUAAGAAAGAGGAAAUAUCUCUUGAGGCUUUGGCAAAUCAUCUUCGUAUUGAAGAAGAGUAUAGAAAACAAGAUCAAAACCUAAAUUCUGAAAAUGCCAAAGUGCAUGUUACGGAAGAAGUACAGACUACUAAACCAUUCAAGAGAAAGUUUAAACAGACUGAUAAAGUACCUAAGUUCAAAAAGAAACAAAAGGGCUCAUGCUAUCAUUGUGAAAAAUCGGGACAUUUCAAGAAUGAAUGUCGAUUUUUAAAGAAGAAAUCAUCUUUUAAGGCUGAUAAUAACGAAAAAUUCGUUGCAAUGAAAUCUGAAAUUAAUAUGGCACAAGAUGAAAGUACAUGGUGGAUUGAUACCGGAGCAACCAAACAUGUGUGCAAAGACAAAAGCAUGUUCACAAAGUCCACACAAUGAAAAAAUGACAAUGUCUUGUACAUGGGAAAUUCUUCCACCGCAGCAAUCAAAGGCAAAGGGUCUGUUGAACUACAAUUCACUUCUGGAAAGGUUUUAACCUUAAAUGAUGUAUAUUAUGUACCAGAAGUUUGAAAUAAUUUAGUGUCUGGAAGUCUGUUGAAUAAGUUUGGUUUCAAACUUGUUUUUGAGGCAGAUAAGUUUAUUUUGUCUAAGGGAGGAAUUUUUGUGGGGAAAGGGUAUAUGUAUGAGAGCAUGUUCAAACUCAAUAUUAUUAAUAAAAAUAAAAAUACUAUUUCUACUUAUAUGGUUGAAUUUUUUUGUUUGUAGCAUUAUAGAUUAGGUCAUUUGAAUUAUAGAAAAUUGAAUGACAUGUAUAAGUUAGAUUUAAUUCCUAUUUUUAAUAAUAACAUUGAAAAAUGCAAUACAUGUAUGUUGACUAAAAUUACAAGAAACCCUUUCCCUAAGGUUAAAAGGAAAACAAAAUUGCUUGAUUUGAUACAUAGUGAUUUAUGUGACAUGCAUAAUACUCCUACAUUAGGUGGAAAGAAAUAUUUUGUUACUUUUAUUAAUGAUUGUUCUAGAUAUUGUUAUGUAUAUUUAUUGCAUUCAAUAGAUGAAGCGCUUAAUAAAUUUAAAGUUUAUAAAUCUGAAGUUAAACUUCAGUGUGAGUCAUUUAUCAAGUGCUUAAGAUCAGAUAGAGGUGAAGAAUACUAUAAUCCAAGUUAUUUUGAAUCCACUGGAAUUGUCCAUCAAGUUUCAGCCCCUUACACACUACAACAAAAUGGUGUAGCUGAAAGGAAAAAUAGAAUCUUGACUGAAAUGGUAAAUUCAAUGUUAUCAUAUUCAGGUAUUGGACAAGGUUUUAGGGCGAAGCUGUUCUAACAACUUGUCAUAUAUUUAAUAAAGUUCCUAAUAAGGAAACUAAAAUAACCCCCUAUGAACAAUGGAAGAAAAGGAAACCAAACCUUAAUUAUUUGAAGGUUUUGGGUUGUAGAGCUAUUGUAAAAGUUCCAACACCUAAACAUAAAAAGUUAGGUGAAAGAGGAAUUGAAUGCAUAUUUAUAGGUUAUGCACAUAAUAGCAAGGCAUAUAGGUUCAUGGUAAUUGAACCAAAUGAUUCAAUUUCAAUUAAUAAUGUUAUUGAAUCAAGAUAUGCUAUUUUUGAUGAAAAUAGAUUUAAUUCUAUAUCAAGACAAUUACAGCCACAACAAUUGAUUCAUUCUUCAAAUGAGAAUGAGAUUCCAUUGGAACAAAUUGAUAAUAAUAAUGAAUCUUGUCAAGAAUUAAGAAGAAGUAAGAGGAUUAAAAAGGUCAAAGAUUUUGGACCAGAUUUUAUUAUGUUUCUUGUAAAAGAAAAAGGUGAAAGUAUAUGCAAUAAGAUACCUUAUUGUUAUAAUACAGAAUCUGAUCCUAUUACAUUUGAAGAGGGCAAUGAAAUCUCAAGACUCUACUUUUUGGAAAGAAGCAAUAAAUGAUGAGAUGGAUUCAAUAAUGGGAAAUCAAACUUGGAUCUUAGUUGAUCUUCCACCAGGUUCUAAACUAAUAGGUUGUAAAUGGAUCUUCAAAAAGAAAAUGAAGGUCGAUGGAACCAUUGAUAAAUUUAAAGCAAGGUUGGUAGCCAAAGGUUUUAUACAAAAACAAGGUAUUGAUUACUUUGAUACCUAUGCUCCAGUAGCAAGAAUUGCUACAAUUAGACUCUUAAUAUCACUUACCUCUAUAUAUAAUUUAGUUUUUCACCAAAUGGAUGUUAAAAUUGUAUUUUUAAAUGGUGAAUUAGAUGAGGAAGUGUACAUGGAGUAACCGGAAGGAUUUAUUGUUCUAGGACAAGAGCAUAAGGUAUGUAAGCUUGUUAAAUCUUUAUAUGGGCUUAAACGAGCACCAAAACAAUGGCACCAAAAGUUUGACAAGGUUGUUUUAGCUAAUAGCUAUAAAAUAAAUGAAUCUGAUAAGUGCAUAUAUAGCAAAUUUGAAAAUGGAAAAGGUGUCAUAAUUUGCUUAUAUGUAGAUGACAUGCUCAUUUUUUGCACGGAUUUGGAAUAAAUAGAAAACACAAAGAAAUUCUUGUCAAACAACUUUGCUAUGAAGGAUAUGAGUGUAGCAGAUGUUAUUCUUGGGAUUAAAAUAACCCGAGAUGAAAGCACUAUAGCUUUAUCACAAUCACAUUACAUUGAAAAUGUGCUUAAAAAGUUUGAUCUUUUCAACUGUAUACCAGCAUCUACACCCAUGGAUCCUCAAAUAAAAUUAGUAUCUAAUGCUAGUAGGAAAAUUGAUCAAUUGAAAUAUGCAAGUCUAAUUGGUUGUCUUAUGUACAUAAUGACUUGUACAAGACCAGAUAUUUCAUAUGUUGUUGGAAAAUUGAAUAGGUACACAAGUAAUCCAAGUAGUUUGCAUUGGCAAGCUUUGAAUAGAGUACUUAAGUACUUAAAGAAAACUAUUAACUAUGGAUUGUGUUAUAACAGAUAUCCUCCAGUUUUAGAAGGUUAUUCGGAUGCUAGUUAGAUUACAAGUUUGGAAGAUCAUGCAUUUACUAGUGGAUGGAUCUUCAUUCUUGGUAGAUGAGCCAUUUCUUGGGGUUCCAAGAAACAAACAUGUAUUACUAAUUCCACCAUGGCAGCAGAAUUUAUUGCAUUAGCUGCUGCAUUUAAAGAGGCAGAAUGGUUAAGAAAUUUUCUUUAUGAUGUACCUUUAUGGCCUUAGCCAAUUUCACCUAUUUCUAUCCGUUGUGAUAGUGAGGCUACUCUAGCAAAGGCAUAUAGCCAAGUAUAUAAUGGAAAGUCUAGACACAUUGGAUUAAGACAUAGUUAUGUCCGAUAAUUAAUCUCUGAUGGAGUGAUCACUAUUAAUUAUGUGAGGUCAAGUGAAAAUUUGGCAGAUCCUUUGACAAAAAGUCUUGCUAGAGAUAUAAUAAAAAGGACCUCAAAAGGGAUGGAACUCAAGCCCAUUAAUUAGAGUCACCCAUGAUGGAAACUCAAAUCAAUGCUUGGUAUAACGUCAAGUCUUGAGUUCAAUGAGACAAAGUACAUCAUUAGUAUGUGACUGUUAGCACUAUAAAUAAAUCCAUCCUAAGAUUAAAGUGCUAGGUAUCCGUAAUGAUAAGGAAAGGAUGAAUAAUGUACUCUUAACGGACCCAUAACAGAAAUAUGUUAGAGUGUUAUAAUUACGGGAACACUCUUAAUGGGAUCUACCUAUGUGAGUGGAAGUGCGGCCGCUUCUAGGAGCUCAAGGGUUUGACUCUGACAGCACUCAUGAAAAGAGGACACAGACAUAUGGCCAUAAUAGUGUCUUUAGAUAUUAUGCAUUGGCCGAUGUUGAAAUCAUUGUACGAGAUGUGUUCAGUUAAUCAAAUGGAAUAGUUGGUUCAAAGCUUUGUCUACCGUGCAUUUUUUAUUAACUUUAACAUAUAUUCACUAAGUGAAGGUUCAAUCGUAAGAUAUCUUCAUUUAUGCAAAUUGAUUUCCAAGAAUAUCAAAAUCUAAAAUAUUUUGAAAAUGGGGGGGAGAUUGUUGGAACAUUUUCAAAUAUUUAUAGUGUUUCAAUAACUAUAAAUGAAUGGGUGUAAUUAAUCAAAAGAUUAUAUUAUUUGAUUUUUUGAAAAGGAGUUAUAACUAUUUAAAUAAUAUUAUUUGAAUAGUUAUAAAUGAAUAAUUAUGUGUUUAUUUUUAAGACAUUAUUAUUCAGAAAGACACCUAUUAAUGAAAGAUGUCUCUAUGAAGAGACAUGAAAAUUCCUAUAAAUAGGAAUGGGAUUUCAUUUGGAAAACAUACCAAAAAAUUUCAAAUAUUCUUUCUUUCCUUCAUUCAUUUUCUAAUAUUAUUAGAUUAUUCUAUAAAGUAUUACUGCAGAAAUUCUUUGUAGAAAUUGAGUUUUUGAUAUACAUUGCUUAGUGCGUAGUGGACUAUUCUCGUCAGUGCAAAACGUAAAUAGUCAUUGGCUUCAUUGCAUCCUCGAGGUUAAUUUGCUUGGAACUCAUUUGCACAUCGAAGAUAGGUGGGGGCGAAUAUAACCUUAAAGAUAGUGGCUUAAUACACACCUUGGAGCAUUGUCCUUUUUCUUCUUUUUUUGUUCGAGUUCUGUUCGUGUGUUCGAGAUUUUUCUCACCGGAGUUUUGUACUAACAAUAUUUACAUUGAAUUCAAAUACAUAUUCUACAAUUAACUUUAAUCUCACUGUUACAAUACUUAACCUCACUAAAUUACUUGUUUAACAUGAUUAUCGUGAAUUUAUAGAAAGAAAAAUCACGAAGCAAAUGCAGAUGCACUUAUGUUUAAAGUGUUUUUAAUUGAACUUUUAUUAUUUUGAAAAAUAAAAGUAUAAUAACUUUUUUUGCAUUCCAACUUUAUAAAAGAAUUAUUUUAGCUCUUUAUUUAUUUCCCUUCUCUUUUAGUCUUUGAACUUACAUUUUUUUUGUCAAACCAUCCAAAAUGGGUGAAAAAGUUAACGUUUGUUAACUUUGUUGACAUGACAUAUAGGUGGAUUACCACGAGUAUGUCACGUUAGCAAUUAAUUAUUUUUAAAAAAUUAAAAAAUAUUUUCUUAUUAUUUUUUAAUUUUUUUAAUUUUUUUAAUGUUUAAAAUAUUUUUUAAAUGUUUUAAAAUUUUAAAAAAUAAUUAAUUGCUUAUGUGGCAUAUACAUGGAAAUCCGCGUGUAUGUCACAUCAGUAAAAUCAACAGACGUUAAAUUUUCACUCAUUUUGGAGUGAUUUAACAAAAAUUACAAGUUUAAGAACUAAAAGAAACGAAAAAUUAAAUGAUAAGUUGAAAUAACUUUUUCCGUAAACUUGGAGACCAAAAGAAUCAUUAUGGCAAAAAAUAGUUGUUUUUCUUCUCUUUUCUUCUUUUCUUUUUGGUAUCUUUUAGUGCUAAAAUUCAAGAUGGUGUGGAAUAGUUUCUAAUCUUAUUAUUGUUAUAUAUGUUUUCGAUCUCAUUAGAGCUAUAAUCUCAUUGUCUAUAUAAAGAGAGCCUAAAUAUAAUUUGUUCAGCUUCUAUUAAACAUGUUAGUGCUCCUUUGUACGAUCAUUUUCCUCCCGUGAGUAGGGUUGAGUAAAUAAAAUAAAAUAAUUGAAAAUCGAUCCAAAUCAAGGUGUUUAGACGGUUUAUGGAAUACAAAUUAAAAAAUCACAAUUAUCCGAAACCGAACAAAAUUCUAUUCUUUAUUUAACUUAUAAAUAAUUUUUUAUAACAUAAAAAAUCUUUUAUAUUGAAAAAUAGUGAAAAUAAAUAUAUAUAUAUAUUUUAAAAAUAUUAUAUAAAAGUAUUUGAUUAUUUUUAUUUACUUAAAAAAUUUUAAAAAAUAUCUAUGAAAAUAACUUUGAAAAUUUGUCUAAUGAUAAUUAAAAGCCGUAAAAUAAAGUUUAUUUUAUUAAAAUAAUUAUAAAAAUUUAUAAUAAAAAAUCGAACUAAACUAAAUUAUAAUGGAUGGAUAAAAAAAUGCAAUUGAAUUAAACUAAUAUCACUUAAUUUUAUUGCACCAAACUGCACAUAAAAGAUUUUCUUAAAAAAUUUAACCUGCAAUGACACUGUUUUUCUCACUAAAACCUUCUAGAGCGUGCAAUGUCCUCGCCAAGUAAGUAAAUUCAAUAGAGGUUGGAGGCUAAAGGUUGAUACAUAAAAGAAGGGGAGGGGCACAGUUCUGCUUCAACCAAAACCCCAAAUUUAGCAUCUUGAGUUGUUAAAAUAAGUAAAUUCACCAUACUUUUCCGUUAGAUUUUGGCUCUCUUCUUCAGCAGAAUGUGGCGUACAGUACAAGAAGCAGGGACCAUCCUUUCUACCAUGAUUUGAUUAUCUGCCCACAUAUUCCAACAAAACGAAUAUGGUAAUAAAUGUCAUCAAUUUCCUUCUAAUUUCCAAUUGAUCUGAUAGAAAUGGUGUAAUUCAAGAGUACUUGUAUAAUAUAUAUGCCCAACUGAGUACUAGAUGGAAUCUAUGCUGUUGACGGACUCUUGGAGGCAUGUUCGAGAGAGCUUAAACACAUUUAUAUUUUUCAGUGUUCCAUACAAUAUUCUAAUGAGUGUCGAAUUCAUUAAAAUGAUGUAAAAAAUAAUAUAAGGAGUAGGGUCAAUCCACAGAAAUUGAGAUAUCAACAUUUGUUGUUUGCUUCAACCAAGUUGCACGUCUAGAUUCUUAUCCUGCCCACGAGGUGUGACUGUCUGUGCAAAAAUAAAAAGAAAAAUUCUAAUGUAAUAAAAGUAAAAAUAAUAAAGAUAAAAAUAAGCAAAAAGGAAAUUAAAUUAAAUAAACUAAUAUGAUGGAAUUCAAGCUUUAAGCUCGAUUUUGUUCCAAUUUCAAACCAAUGCACGAUAACAAGUCUUCUCCUUCAACCGAUAAGCCAGUUAUAGUGAUCGAGGAUGCCUCAGACCACUAACCCUUCCAUAUGUAAAUUAAUUACGAGAACACCCAACAAUUAAUCCUUAUCGAACCAACAACCACAAAACACGCAUCCACGAUUUAGCUCUCUGGUAGCCUUGUGAGCUAAAAGGGUCCAUCUCGAACCAACAACGUCAAUUACGUGAGUCGUUUAGAUCCGAUUGCUAACUUCUUAGUUGGACACGCCAAUGUGUUCUUCGGAAGAUCAAAUACGACAAAUGCUCAAUCCGGUACUUCCAAUUGUACGUCUAUCAACACCGAAUCAACGAGCUAUUUUUAACAUGGUGUGAACACAACUUUGUGAGAUGCCAAUAUCUAUCUCCUAAAUCAGAGAAACAACAAAUACCGAAAUAAAAGUUUUUAAGUAUAAAUUUGGAUCUCACAGCUGUCUACUGGAUUAUUUAUUUAGCUACUAAUGAAAAUAUAUGAAAUAAAAGUAUAAAUAAAAUUUUAAAAAUAUGGAAAUAGGAUUGCGCAUGUAAGAGAGAAGUGAUAAACAAGUAUGAAUAAAAGAGGGGCAAAUUUUCCAAUAAUAAAGAAAAAAAAAUCAUCACCCUUUAAAAAAGAGUGGGCCAAUCUCACUUUUACCCUUUAAAAAAUAUAUACAAUAAUGUUGCAAUUGAUAAUUCUGCCCACCUUGUUCUUCUUUAUUCAUAACAUCAUGUGGUGCUAUUCAAGAAAAAUACAUUGAAAGCUGCAGAAAAUUUAUAAAGAAAGGCCGUCCGUUAAUAAAGUUUUUAAUAUAAAAUUAGUAACUUUUUAUUUAAUUAUUACUUAGUGGGUGGAUGGUGACAUCUUUAAAAUACAAUAUUGACUCUACGGGUAAUGUACGUAUGUAUUAACGCUUGUAUUUUCAUCUUGUUCAAAUCAUUUCACUCUUCCUCCUGCAAUAAUCAAACACUUUUUGCGUGCCAUCAAUGGCUGAAGCAUUGCUUUCGAUAUUGCUGGAGAGCUCAUUACUAAGUUGAUCUCUCGAGCUCCCUCUCAGAUUGGAGUAUGGUGGAAUUUCAAAGAUGACCUCGAUGACUUCAAACAUUGUUGCUGUCAUAUCUGAAUGGGCUGAUCUAUGAAAAUUAAAUUAACUCUAAUACUACUUAAUUGUUAGGAUCAAUCCAAUUAAGCAAUAAGUAAAUAAAAUAGCGGAAUAAAUUGAGAAAUUGAACACAUAAAUUUAACGUGGAAAAAUCCCUUUAAAGAGGAUAAAAACCACGAGCAAAUAUAAUUUUACUAUAAUGGCAAAAGAACGAAGAGCAUAAAAGAUGGAGAUAAAAACUAAACCCCGAAAACCCGAAAACAAAGAACCCUAAAAACAUAAACACAAAAUUCUCUAAAUGUGUUAUGAGUCUUAUUAUUAAUUAUUGGUAUCGUUGAUGUAGCUGAGCGUGUUAAUAUUUGUUGUUAGUGGUAGUAACAUUUUAAUUAUUUUAUUCUACAUUUAUUUGUUUAUUGAAGUGGGUUGAUGAUUUUUAAUUGUUUAUUUUUGGAAAUCUUGUUUCAUUCUUUUGUUCCAUGUCAUGUUGGAAAAAGAGUUCGAAUAAACAUGUUUGGAGUAUUAGGGUUGUAUAAAUCUAAAUUUUAAGAGAUUGUUGGUAAGUCAAGUAAAAAAAUAUUUUUUAGAAAAUUUAGUAUUUAUUAAUAUAAUAUAUAUGUUUAGCAUUUAUUAGCAUAAUAUAUUUGAGAUUGAUUAGAAUUAGAUUUUUUUUAACCUAUAAAUAGAUGUAGUUGAAACUCCUAUCGUAUCAUUUGAAUUCAAACAAUUAAUGCAAUAACCAUAUAAAAUGGCGUUGGUUUGGAUACCCCUUUGAUGUUUUGUCUUCGUUUUGGUGUUUGUUUUGGGGGUUGUGUCUCUUUGGGUUAAUUUUCAAUAUAUGUGUGCUGAUGAUGCAAUGAAUAAAGAAAUCAAAAGUUAUGCAGAAAUUUCAAUUCUGGAUGGUGCUGCAAUUAUAUUUUUAAGAGUAGUAGCAUUUUAUUUGUUAUUAACAUAUAUUUGUUUAUUGGAUACGUGUGUUGAUGAUGCAGUGAAUAAAGAAAUCAAAAGUUGUGCAGAAAUUUCAAUUUUGGAUGGCGCUGUAAUUAUAUUAUUAAGAGUAGUAGGAUUUUAUGUUUCUUUUAGAUGUACAUAUAUUUAUUAGGAAAGGGUUCAAGUUUUUUAUUUGUUUAUUAUUAGGGUUAAAUAUCAAAUUUAUACCCUAGUUUUGGUUCAAUUGUAUAAUUUGAUACAUGAAUUUUGAUUUGGUGCAAUUAUCUACAUGAAACUUGAAUUAUGGUUCAUAUAUAUAUAAAACUUUGAUUUUGAUAUAAUUGUACGCAUUAAAGAAAUGAAUACCUAUAUUUAUUUUCACAUUGGAUUAAUAUAAUUGUAGCGACCUAAAAUUUUUGCGAGUUAGUCGAGGUCGUUACGAAAGGAAAUCUUGGGUUGACGAUUAUUGAAAAUUCGGAAAAGGUCUCAAUUUUACUUAAAAAGAGAUGAGUCGCCACCGGUCCUUUUUCUAAGUGAGAUCAGACACCUACUAAAUUCUCUUUUUAAAAGAAAAUUUAUUUUUAAAAUUCUCUUUAAAAAAAGUCGAUUUUAGGUCUGCGUCAAAAUCCAAAGAAAAUUAGAGUUCGGGAGUCUGUUAUGCACAAAGAAUGUAUUAACACCCUCGUGGCGCCCAAAAUCGGUAUCCCAUUAAAUGCGUGUUGUCUUAAAUUUUAAAAAUACGAAUUCAAUUUAAUAUUUAAUCAUGAUUCGAUUGAAAAAUGAGAAUUUUGAUAAAUUACAUAUUAUUGUAUUGUAUAUAUUUUAGAAUGAAAUACUGAUAAUUUACGAAUAAAAAUAAAGAUUUUAUUUUUAAUGAGAGAAUUUUUUUAAUUUUUUAAUUUUUAGAAGGGCGUUCCGUAUUUAAAAAAAGUCAAUGAUAUCCACCCAACAUAGCAGUGAAAUAAAUGACUUAAUGCUAAAUCGGUUCGUUGCCUUAGGUAUUGAAAUUAUUUAAAUUAAAAAUUGUAAAUGAAAUAUUUCUAAAAGGCUGUUUAAAAAUGCUAAUUUAAUUAAAAUGAAACAAUAUUUAAAUACAUGGACUAAAUAAAUAAAGACAUGCACCUUUGUUGUGAGAUAUCUAGUGAGUUCAAAAAUUCUCUUCUGAAAAUGGUGGCUAUCAUGUAAUUAGUAGUAUAUUAUUUCAAUUUUGGUGAGAAUUGUAUUCUCACUUAAACGCUUAAUGCCAUUUGCUAAAUUUUUUGUGUGGGUGAUCUUUUGAUCUGUUCAUAAACCGAACUUUUCAUGGUGGCUAAGUUUCUUAGGGGAUAAAUUAUUAGUAGCAUUAUUUGUUUCUGCAGUGAAAUUGUGAUGCCUGUAUUUUAAAAUGUGAGGUAUUAUCGUAUUUGAUGAUAUAGUGGAGUUUUGGUAGAUUAAACGGAUCGUUUGCUGAGCUAAGUUGAAAUUGAAUGAAUGCUGGCCUCAUCCAAUGUCCAAAACUUGAUGACUUCAACAUUUUGAUGCCUUAAUUUGAGAAGACUGAGUUAGAGUACUAUAAAACUUUCUCAGAAUGCUGAUGAGGCAAAGAUCUAGUGAUCUAAUAUAAUUGCAAUUCAUAGUAUGGUAGUUUCAAUGCUUUCGUAAGAGAGGAAGAUUAUGUCAUGCUACUCCAUUCUCGGUUUAAAUCAGUGCUCUAUAUGAAGAAAGGUUGAUGGGUGUUAGUUCUUUUGAUGUCUUGUCUUUGAUGGAUGUUUGAAAAAUGAUUCAGUUGAUAUUCAUAAUGUCUAUCACUACAGUUUCCCCCUUAUGUAUAAUAUGUCUGCUAGUUUGUCGGUCUUCGUAUAUUACAUUCCUUUUUCUUAUUGUUUUCAACACGAUAACAAGUGAGUUAGUAGCUAUUUUACUUGAUUUUGUCAUGGCAUUUCAAAGAUGACCUCAAGGACCUCAAAAGCACCAUCUCCACAAUCAAAGCUGUGCUUCUUGAUGCCGAAGAACAAUCCAUGACCAGCAGUCUCAUCAAAGAUUGGCUUGAAAAGUUGAAAGAUGCAUUUUAUGAUGCCGAUAAUUUUUCUACUGAUGCUUUGCGGAAAGAUCUACUGAGCAGGAACAAGCUAAUGAAAGAAGUAUGCCUUUUCUUUUCAAGCUCAAACCUAUUUGUUUAUGGUGCCAAAAUGGGUCAUCAAAUUAAGGCCAGGAUGUUCAACUUGGUAGAGUGUGACCGUCCCAUUAAAACCUCUUUCAUAACUAAGAAGAGACAGCGAACACACUCUUUUGUGAGUAAAGAUGAAAUAAUAGGGAGGGAAGAUGAUAAAGCAGCUUUUCUAGAACACAUAUUAGAGUUCCAAAGUGAAGAGAAUGUUUAUGUGGUUCCGAUUGUGGAGUUUGGAGGGUUAGGGAUGACUACAUUAGCACAGUUUGUCAAUGAAGUGGUCAAUGAUCAUUUUGAGUUGAGGAUAUGUAAAGAUUCCAAACUGGUCAUCUCGGAAGCGAUCUUAAAUUGGGCAAAUCAGAGAGAUAAAGAAAUUGCAACCCAAUCCGGAAGAUACCGACACUUUGGAAUUUUUGCCAGCGAUAGAGAGCGUAGGUUACAAUGCCAUGGACAGAUCACAGCUCCACUUUCUGUAUAGUUUCAAAAAUUACUCGGGGCAGAAGGCAAUGGGAGCCACAGCUCUCCUUACCCCUCCCCCCUUCCAAAUUUGGAAAAUUCUCAUUAAGCCUUCAAUUUUUUUGAAAAUUUUAAUUGAACUCCUCAAUUUUUUUAAAAAUUUUUCCUAAGCCUUUAAUAGUUUUAUAAGUUUUAAUUAGACCCUUUUUUUUGAAAUUCUCAUUAGGUUCUUUAAAAUUUUUGAAAAAUUUAAUUCCACAUUUCGCUACCUUUCUUCUCUGAUAGUUUUAGUUUAUUUGAAUGCUUGGAAUUAGGCUUUCACAUUGUUACAUUGUUGAAAAUUACUUGUAUUUUGAUAAGGAAAACAAUGGGAAAAAUAACAAUUAGAUACUUGGAAUAUUGGCUUGUGCCAUGAUACGCCUUUAUAAGGUGUUAUUCAACUUGUAAUUUGAUGUGUGCCAACAUAAGCAUCAACACACAAGUCAUGUAUAUACAGCCAGGACAUCGACAUCUUUUGGAAGAGUCCUAAUCCAAGCAUCAUAAUUGAACAUAGCCUUGGAAUACCGUCUAAAAACAAUUAUUGUCUCAUAAUCAAUUGUGCAUCCCUGCAUUUGAAUACUGUUUGGAACCCUAAAAAAACAUAAAUGUGUUUUUUCCUGAGUUGGUACAUAUUAUGCAACAAGGAAAAUAAAGAACACAAUCAAUAUAUUUACGCAGUUCGAAACUCGUCCUACGUUUGUGGGGCUUUGCCCCAAGAUGAAUACACUAUGAACUUCAUAGUACAAAGAAAUGAUUUAAGCUCAACCCCUCAAACAUUUGAUGCAAUCUCACUUUUGUACAGUUUAAGUAAAUUCUCUCCCAACUCAUUUUAGCUAUGCAAGUGAAAAUUCACAUUCAACACUCAAAUGGUUUUCCUACUAUGAAUCAAGCUCUUAAUAAGCUCCAUGUAAAGUGGAAUAAUAAAUUUUCAAAUGCAAUAUGUCUGGCAAUUGUCAUGCUUGAACAACGACUCUUCCAAAACCAUCAAUGAACCUGAAAAUUACAAAUGCCAACAUAGAAUAUGUUACAAAUCCCAUUAGUAUCAGCCUUAUAUUUGCACAUAUGUGUGUUUAGUAUAACGCUGUUGAUAUAUAAAUAAUGAAACAUUUUAUCAACUUCAACCUCACCACCAAAUAUUCCGAAGCAUCUUCCUUUUUUUCCUGUUUGGACCUUCAGUAACAAAUUUGGCUGGAAUUCUAAACAGCUAAAAGAGUUCCCUGCAUCAAUGAAUAUUAUGAAUUUGAAUACCUCCAAAAGCCUGUCAAUAUCACAGGUACCAUCUAAGAUAGUAAUCAGUUGGCAUAUAUUAAGAGAAAACAUAAAUAUAUAUAACGAUAUCAUCGGUAAGUGCUUAAAUGAAGAAAGCAGAGCAUAUAGUACAACCAUUUUGAAUGCUUCAUAGGCCUCUCUCUCCACAUCAAUUGUUUUUUAGAAUUAAAUUAUUAGAAGCAAUUGUCAAGUUAUAAUUAUGAUUUAAAAGUAAAAAGGAAAUAGAUAAAUUAGCACCUCUUUUUAUGCAUAUAAAAUGAUUGAAGUUGACUAAUGCCUUUCUGCAAUGCCUUACUGCACAAAUCAGCAAAAAUAUUAUGAAAGAUGAUAAGUAAAAAGUAGGAUUAAAACAAAGGCAUUUUAACAAGGAAAUUAAUAGUAUCCAACUUCAAUGAAAAAUGGCAUCAGACCCCUGACUUGGAGAUUCAAUAUACCACUCCUAUUUUUCUUCAAAAAAAGAUGAGGUCAUCAAAAUAAAUAAAUAACAAAGACAGACCAACCUGAUCCAACCGAAUGUUGGGGAUGUGAGCAAUCUUUUGCCAAUCAGCGCCAAUGUCCUUCCGACAUCUUUCCUCCAACAGAGGAAUUUCUUGUAUUUGUAAAUACUCCAAACAGGUUAGGCAACACAUCUCGUCCGGAAGAGAUGUUAAAUUGGGCAAAUUAACGAGAUAAAGCUGUUCCAGAUUUGUUAGAUGUUGAAGCCGCUCCGGAAGAUGCCGACACUUUGGAAUAUUUUCCAGCCAUAGAAGGCGUAGGCUUGUAUGAUCUUGGAAUAUUUGGAUGCCAGCUCCAGAUAACUCCAGCUCCUUGCAGUCCUUUACUUCAAACAGUUCAAGGAAAGUGAGGUGUUGGAACACAGGAAGCAGUGACCUC